AGAUGUCUAUGGGUUAUAACGGUAACCACUUAUCAUAAGUAUUUUUGUUGAACCACAUACACAGUUUAUCGCAGUGUAUAAGUGUGGUUGUUU
RNAcentral lists this small RNA (93 nucleotides) under Bombyx mori (domestic silkworm). RNAcentral describes it as "Bm_141". The record is from RNAcentral. Lineage: Eukaryota; Metazoa; Arthropoda; Insecta; Lepidoptera; Bombycidae.